UGGUCAAUCUAGUGGCGAACGGGUGAGUAACACGUGGGUAACCUGCCCAUCAGAGGGGGAUAACAUUCGGAAACGGAUGCUAAAACCGCAUAGGUUCUUGAGUCGCAUGACUGAAGAAGGAAAAGAGGCUUCGACUUCUGCUGAUGGAUGGACCCGCGGUGCAUUAGCUAGUUGGUGAGGUAACGGCUCACCAAGGCCGUGAUGCAUAGCCGACCUGAGAGGGUGAUCGGCCACAUUGGGACUGAGACACGGCCCAAACUCCUACGGGAGGCAGCAGUAGGGAAUCUUCCGCAAUGGACGCAAGUCUGACGGAGCAACGCCGCGUGAGUGAAGAAGGAUUUCGGUUCGUAAAACUCUGUUGUUAGAGAAGAACAGCGCAUAGAGUAACUGUUAUGCGUGUGACGGUAUCUAACCAGAAAGCCACGGCUAACUACGUGCCAGCAGCCGCGGUAAUACGUAGGUGGCAAGCGUUGUCCGGAUUUAUUGGGCGUAAAGCGAGCGCAGGCGGUCAAUUAAGUCUGAUGUGAAAGCCCCCGGCUCAACUGGGGAGGGUCAUUGGAAACUGGUUGACUUGAGUGCAGAAGAGGAGAGUGGAAUUCCAUGUGUAGCGGUGAAAUGCGUAGAUAUAUGGAGGAACACCAGUGGCGAAGGCGACUCUCUGGUCUGUAACUGACGCUGAGGCUCGAAAGCGUGGGUAGCAAACAGGAUUAGAUACCCUGGUAGUCCACGCCGUAAACGAUGAGUGCUAAGUGUUGGAGGGUUUCCGCCCUUCAGUGCUGCAGUUAACG
This 788-nucleotide ribosomal RNA is filed under the name uncultured Lactobacillales bacterium. RNAcentral describes it as "bacterial SSU rRNA". It matches the Rfam family "Bacterial small subunit ribosomal RNA", at positions 84 to 857 of the family's 1533-position model. The record is from RNAcentral. Lineage: Bacteria; Bacillati; Bacillota; Bacilli; Lactobacillales.